Molecule: long non-coding RNA, 92 nt
Organism: Alosa sapidissima (American shad)
Lineage: Eukaryota; Metazoa; Chordata; Actinopteri; Clupeiformes; Clupeidae
Exons: 4
Source: RefSeq, a predicted model, not a curated record
CAAAUGUAAUGUAAUGUAAAACUUAUAUGUUUUUUUCCUCUUCAUGACACAUUUUUUGACUGAUGCAACUUAUAUUCCGGAAAAUACUGUAA